CAGCCGCCACGGUAAUACGAAGGGUGCAAGCGUUACUCGGAAUUACUGGGCGUAAAGCGUGCGUAGGUGGUGGUUUAAGUCCGUUGUGAAAGCCCUGGGCUCAACCUGGGAAUUGCAGUGGAUACUGGGUCACUAGAGUGUGGUAGAGGAUAGUGGAAUUUCCGGUGUAGCAGUGAAAUGCGUAGAGAUCGGAAGGAACAUCUGUGGCGAAGGCGACUAUCUGGGCCAACACUGACACUGAGGCACGAAAGCGUGGGGAGCAAACAGGAUUAGAUACCCCGGUAGUCCCUGUCUCUUAUAC
RNAcentral lists this ribosomal RNA (301 nucleotides) under uncultured bacterium. RNAcentral's name for it is "partial 16S ribosomal RNA". It matches the Rfam family "Bacterial small subunit ribosomal RNA", at positions 509 to 807 of the family's 1533-position model. The record is from RNAcentral.